AAAAAAUAAAAUCCAUCAAUUCCAUUUUAUGCAUACAAUUCUAACAACUAAAACAAGCCCAAAUUUGUAAUAAACCAGCAACAUUACACAUCAUUCCAAAUCGAAGAUUUAUAGUAAACCAGGAGCAUUAGAGCAUAUCCAUACAUCUACACUUAUUGCCUAGUCACUUAUUCCCAGCUAGUGCAAACACAGUUGAAAGCAAACAAAAAUGCAUAAAAACACCAAACAGUGGCAUUCUAUCCCUCCAAAUGAUUUGCUCCCUCUCCAUCCUUGCAAUCAUCUUCUUCUCCCUUAUGUGCUUCUCCCAUUUAUGAAUCCAAGAUUUCUGUAAAGAGCAAAGAACAAAUUAAAUUAAUUUCUAGACAAUAUAUAUUGCCAACCAAGCCUAGAGGAACUAUAUAUUGCCAGGUAAUAGGACAUAUCUAAUUUUCACAUUAAUUGCCUUUAGUUUUCUUCAAAACUAAAUAUACUUAAACUUAGAUCAUUUCAUAUAGAUGUUAAAAGGAUAAUACGGCUAAAAAAAUCCAAUUUCUUUGUUUUUUUGAAGUAGUUUAACAGGAAAGCAUUAACACGUAAUUUCUUUGGUGCUGAUAUCUUUUGUUGCAACAUUACUUAGCAAGUGGGAAAAGAAAGAUGAUUUCAACCGAACUGUGAAAGAAGAGCAAGGGAAAUCAUGGUUAAUUAUCAUAGUAUACUACAAGAAGUUAAACAGGACAGUGCCCUACUACACAAGAAUCAUGGAAUUGAUGGCUAAUUAGUACUCAAUCCACUCUUUGAAACACAACCUUCUUCUUUUUACCUGUUUCUGUCAUAAUAUACCGAUAAACCUAUUAAAAUUUUUAAUUAAAAACACUCUUAUAUUAUGGGACAGAGGGAGUAAAACUGAACAUGUGGCCCAUGUCUAACACAAGAUAUUAUCUACAUAGUAAUGAUGACUAGUAGAAGAGAAUCUCAUGAAUCACGUGUGAUGGAGAUGACUGGUCGACUAUACACUACAUAGAUGGCCUAACAUCGACAGCAAGUCCUUCAGAAGAAACAGUCAAAUUAUCAACAACUGUUUAUCUUCCUACAUCAAUUUGGACAGUAACAGUAAGCAAAGAUAGCAUUAUAAUCCCAGCCAACUACGUAUAUAACUAGGAUAAAAAUGAUGAAAACAAGUAGACUGUCUAACCAAUUGACUACAAUUAUUGAGGAGCUGCAUGGAGAGUGCUAGUAUUAAAAUCGGGCUUGCAUUCUAGGCUCGAUCGAAACUGAAACUGAAAUCAGCCUUGCAAUCUAGGCUCCUCCACCUUUCACAGCGGUGGAGGAAACUGAAACUGAAAUCGGCCUUGCAAUCUACUACAAACCCUCUACAAAAUUCGUAUUGAAACUUUUUUUAAACAACCUCUAUAAGGCCGUAAACUGGCAUACAAAAACAAUGCGCUCAGGAUACUAACUUUUGGGACAACAAACUAAAACGAUGGCUGCUCUCAAACCAUACGUCCAAACGACGCAAAUAAAUACUCUACGGAAAGCUUGGAUCUUGCUUUACAAAUUUCUUAUAGAGGCAACUCGAAAUCCUGAGAAUAACUAACUCGUUUUUCACCUAGAAGCUGGCUGUCCAGAUUUGACAGUGCAGUUUUUAACCGAACCAGAUUCUUAUCUAACAGAAGUAGCACCCAACAAAAUGCAGAUAGACAUGUAACUAAAUUAUACAACUGAACUUUUAGCAGGAAGCAAGCACUCACCAAAAUUCAUACAUGCAUGUAACUAACUUCUGUAAUAACUAAAUUUAGCAGCAGGCGAGCACCCAACAAAAUUCAGAUAGGCAUGUAACUAAAUUCUGCAACUGAAUUUCUAGCAACAAGGAAGCACCCAGCAAAAUUCAGAUAGGCCUUAUACUAGAUUAUGCAAUGCAAUGUUUAUCUUACUCAAAAGCAGAGCAGGUAUCCAUCAAAAUUCAGUCUGACAGCUACAUGUAACCCAAAUUCAGACAUACUACAUGUAACCCAAAUUCUUCUACAACUGAACGUGUAACCACCAAAUUCAGACAAGCAAGCAGCCAAAUCAAUUGGGUCAUCAGUGAGUCACCUGCAGCACAACGGAGUUGAUGACAUCAGCGUAUCCGACGGCGAGGUUGAGCGACAUACAGCGGGCGGGGGCCAUGGCUUAGCACCUGGUGCGGCCCCUCUCGACCUUGCCGAGCUUGUCGAGGUUGAGCACGAUGACCAUGGUGAGCAUGGCGGCGACGCCGGCACCGAGGGAAUGGCCCGUGAAGCUGAGCGCGUAGGCGGGGUACCGGUCGAGGAGGUCCCAGAGCAGGUCGCACUCCCUGUCGAGCACCCAGCCGGCGGCGCGGAGGAGGCUGUUGUGGACGUAGCCGCCGUCAAAGCGGUGCUUGCCGAGGCGGUUGUCGAGGAGCGUGCGCAUGGUCGAGGUAGACGAGGUAGGGCGUGACCCGGCCCACCGUGUCGGCGUAGGUGCGGCGGCGCACGACGUUUGAGGGGUCGAGGAGGAGGGGCACCGCGGCGAGGAGGUUGGGCGGGGCGUAGUUGGCCAUGACGAGGUGGCACAUCCUGGGCACGUGCGCGAAGUCGGCGGCGGCGGCGUGGCCCCAAGUGGCGCUGUCGUGGUGGCCGGAGUGGAUGCACCGCUUCCACGCCCUGCGGCGGGCCGUUGAGGAGAGGAGGUGGGAGCGGAGACGGGAUUGGGGAUCUGGAUCGGGCACUGAGUGUUUUUUUUGAGACAUGGUGUGGGAUGGUUGGUGGGGUGGGAGCAGAUGUAGGUGGUAGCGUGGGGUUUAUAACCCACGCUACUACUAUCGACUUAGUAGUAUCGUGGGUUUAUAACCCACACUACUACUACGGUUGGUCCCGGGAGGCACGGUGGAAAUAACUUAGUAGUAGCGAGGGGUAAAAACCCGCACUACUACUAUCAUGUUAUUAGUAGCGUGGUUUUCUCAAGCUCGCUACUGCUAAUUAGCAGUAGCAUUUGUUUUUAAACCGCGCUACUGCUAAGAUUUCGUGUAUAAGGUUUUCCCUAGUAGUGCAUGUUCCUCUGACUAUGAGAUUAUGCAAAUCCCAAAUACCGGAGGAACACCUUGUGUGCUAUCAAAUGUCACAACAUAACUAGGUGAUUAUAAAGAUGCUCUAAAGGUGUCUCCGAAGGUGUUUGCUGGGUUGGCAUACAACAAGAAUAGGAUUUGUCACUCUGUGUAUCACAGAGGGCUCUUUGGGCCCUCUCGGUAAUGCUCAUCACUAUAAGCCUUGCAAGCAAUGUGACUAAUGAGUUAGUUGCGGGAUGAAGCAUUACAGAACGAGUAAAGAGACUUGCUGGUAAUGAGAUUGAACUAGGUAUGAUUAUGCCGACGAUCGAAUCUCGGGCAAGUAAGACCGAUGACAAAGGGAACAACGUAUGUUGUUAUGUGGUUUGACCGAUAAAGAUCUUUGUAGAAUAUGUAGGAGCCAAUAUGAGCAUCCAGGUUCCACUAUUUGUUAUCAAUUGGAGAUGUGUCUUGAUCAUGUCUACAUAGUUCUCGAAUCCGUAGGGUCUGUACGCUUAACAUUCGAUGAGGAUUUGUAUUAUGAGUUAUGUGUUUUGGUGACCGAAGUUUGUUCGGAGUCCCGGAUGAGAUCACAGACAUGAGAAGGAGUCUCAAAAUGGCCGGGAGGUAAAGAUUGAUAUAUGGAAGGUUACAUUCGGGCACCGGAAUGGUUUCAGGAAGUAUCAGAUAAGUUUCAAAGUACCGGGAGGUUACCGGAACCCCCCGGGGGACUAAUGGGCCUACAUGGGCCCUAGUGGAGAGAGGAGGCCGACGGCCAGGUGGUGGUGCGCGCCCCGCAAGCCCAAACCAAAUUGGACUAUGCGUGGGGGCGCGACCCCAUGAGGGAGUGAAGGAGUCGUGGAUUAGGGGGUCCUUAGACAGCCAGACUAUAUACUUUGGCCGGACUGUUGGACUAUGAAGAUACAAGAUUGAAGACAUCUUCUCGUGUCCGUAUGGGAAUAUCCUUUGCGUGGAAGGCAAGCUUGGCGAUUCGGAUGUGUAGAUCUCCUUCUCUAUAACCGACUCGGUGUAACCCUAGCCCCCUCCUGUGUCUAUAUAAAUCGGAGGGUUUAGUCCGUAGGACAAGAACAAUCAUAUCAUAGGCUAGCUUCUAGAGUUUAGCCUCUACGAUCUCGUGGUAGAUCAACUCUUGUAGUACUCAUAUCAUCAAGAUCAAUCAAGCAGGAAGUAGGGUAUUACCUCCAUCGAGAGGGCCCGAACCUGGGUAAACAUCGUGUCCCCCGCCUCCUGUUACCAUUAGCCUUGGGCGCACAGUUCGGGACCCCCUACCCGAGAGCCGCCGGUUUUGACACCGACAUUGGUGCUUUCAUUGAGAGUUCCGUUGUGCCGUCAUGAUAAGGCUAGAUGGCUCCUUCAAUCGUCUUCAAUGACGCGGUCCAAGGGGAGGUUUUCCUUCCCGGACAGAUCUUCGUAUUCGGCGGGUUCGUACUGCGGGCCAACUCGCUUGGCCAUCUGAAGAAGAUCGAAAGCUACGCGCCUGGCCAUCAGGUCAGGUUUGGAAGCUUGAACUACAAUGCCGACAUCCGCGGAGAGUUGAUCUUCGACGGAUUCGACCCCGUGUUAGGUGCGCCGGAUAGUCCUGACGAGCAUGACUUAGAUCUGCCAUCGGAAAGUAUCCGGGGGAUCGCGCAUGCGGCUGCUCUGGGACUCAAUCCGGAGAAGAUUGUGCUAUAUGAGGACGGGUGGAUGGACCCCACCACGGAGGCUGCACACUCAUCAUACAUGGAGCCGAACACUGAUCCCACCUCCUAUGAGGCCGGUAUCGUCGGACCCUCAGACUCGUCUCCGGCUGCAGGAUCCGAACCGCGUACGCCCAUGCCUAUCGAAUCUGAUUGGGCACCGGUCAUGGAGAUCACCUCCGCGGAUAUCUUUCAGCACUCACCCUUUGGUGAUGUGCUAAAUUCAUUAAGGUCUCUCUCCUUUUCAGGAGACUCCUGGCCGAACUAUGUCCGACUCGAGUGGGAAGCGGAUGACGAAGAAAUUAUCUCAAACACCGUACCCAUAAAAGUACGAUGCGCCUCUGAGAUAGCCGCUCGCUCUAGAAGGCCCGUCAUUGUGUCAGGCUAUGUCCUGGACAAUCCCGGACUCUUUUUGUUGCUCUCCUUGGGAGUCGAAUACUUCGGGCUUCAGGCGGCCGAAGCAUUAACUUCUGGCCUUAGUGGAUCAGGAGAAAUCCUCCGUGACGACACCUUAGAGUCGUCCGCCCCAUGGGGCGGGUGAGGGAGUCCUAGACUAGGGGGUCCUCGGACAGCCGGACUAUAUACUUUGGCCGGACUGUUCGACUAUGAAGAUACAAGAUUGAAGACUUCGUCCCGUGUCCGGAUGGGACUCUCCUUGGCGUGGAAGGCAAGCUUGGCAAUUCGGAUAUGUAGAUCUCCUUCUAUAUAACCGACUCUGUGUAACCCUAGCACCCUCCAGUGUCUAUAUAAACCAGAGGGUUUAGUCCAUAGGACAACAACAAUCAUAUCAUAGGCUGGUUUCUAGGGUUUAGCCUCUACGAUCUCAUGGUAGAUCAACUCUUGUAAUACUCAUAUCAUCAAGAUGAAUCAAGUAGGAAGUAGGGUAUUACCUCCAUUGAGAGGGCCCGAACCUGGGUAAACAUCGUGUCCCCCGCCUCCUGUUACCAUUAGCCUCAGACGCUCAGUUCAUGACCCCCUACCCGAGAUCCGCCGGUUUUGCCACCGACAUUGGUGCUUUCAUUGAGAGUUCCACUGUGCCAUCGCGAUAAGGCUAGAUGGCUCCUUCAAUCGUUUUCAACGACGCGUUCCAGGGGGAGGUUUCCCUUCCCGGACAGAUCUUCGUAUUCGGCGGCUUCGUACUGCGGGCCAACUCGCUUGGCCAUCUAGAGCAGAUCUACAGCUACGCCCCUGGACAUUAGGUCAGGUUUGGAAGCUUGAACUACACGGCCAACAUCUGCGGUGACUUGAUGUUUGAUGGAUUCGACCCCGUGUCAGGUGCGCCGGACAAUCCUGUCGAGCAUGAAUUAGAUCUGCCAUUGGAUAGUAUUUGGGGGAUCGCGCCUGCGGUUGCUCCGGAACUCAAUCCGGAGCAGAUUGUGCCAUCCGAGGACGGGUGGAUAGACCCCGCCACAGAGGCCGCACACUCAUCAGCAUUGGAGCCAAACAAUGAUCCCACCUCCUAUGAGGCCGGUAUCAUUGGACCCUCGGACUCGUCUCCGGCUACAGGAUCCAUACCACGCACGCCCGUGCCUAUCGAAUCCGACUGGGCACCGGUCAUGGAGUUCACCUCCGCGGAUAUCUUUCAGCACUCGCCCUUGGGUGAUGUGCUAAAAUCAUUAAGGUCUCUCUCCUUGUCAGGAGACUCCUUGCCAAACUAUGUCUGGCUCGAGUGGGAAGCGGACGACGAGGAAAUUCGUCCCCCACCCACUACCCACUUAAUAGCCACUGUCGAUGACUUAACCGACGUGCUUAACUUCAACUCCGAAGACAUCGACGGUAUGGACGACGAUGUAGGAGAAGAACAGAAACCACCACCUAUAGGGCGUUGGACAGCUGAUGACCCACAAGUGUAGGGGAUCUAUCAUAGUCCUUUUGAUAAGUAAGAGUGUCGAACCCAACGAGGAGCAGAAGGAAAUGAUAAGCGAUUUUCAGUAAGGUUUUCUCUGCAAGCACUAAAAUUGUAGGUAAUAGAUAGUUUUGCGAUAAGAUAAAUUGUAGCAAGUAACAAGCAAUAAAAUUAAAUAAGGUGCAGCAAGGUGGCCCAAUCCUUUUUGUAGCAAAGGACAAGCCUGGACAAUUUCUUAUAAUGAGAAAAGUGCUCCUGAGGACACAUGGGAAUUAUCGUCAAGCUAGUUUCAUCACACUCAUAUGAUUCACGUUCGGUACUUUGUUAAUUUGAUAUGUGGAUGGACCGGUUCUUGGGUACUGCCCUUACUUGGACAAGCAUGCCACUUAUGAUUAACCCCUAUUGCAAGCAUCCACAACUACUACAAAAGUAUUAAGGUAAACCUAACCACAACAUUAAACAUUUGGAUCCAAAUCAGCCCCUUACGAAGCAAUGCAUAAACUAGGAUUUAAGAUUUUGUCACUCUAGCAACCCAUCAUCUACUUAUUACUUCCCAAUGCUUUCCUCUAGGCCCAAAUAAUGGUGAACUGUCAUGUAGUCGAUGUUCACAUAACACCACUAGAUGGAAGACAACAUACAUCUUAUCAAAAUAUCGAAUGAAUACCCAAUUCACAUGACUACUAAUAGCAAGACUUCACCCAUGUCCUCAGGAACAAACGUAACUACUCACAAAGCAUAUUCAUGUUCAUAAUCAGAGGUGUAAUAAUAUGCAUUAAGGAUCUGAACAUAUGAUCUUCCACCAAGUAAACCAAUAAGUAUCAACUACAAGGAGUAAUCAACACUACUAGCAACCCACAAGUACUAAUUUGUGGUUUUGGAUACAAGAUUUGAUACAAGAGAUGAACUAGGGUUUGAGAGGAGAUGGUGCUGAUGAAGAUGUUGAUGGAGAUUGACCCCCUCCCGAUGAUAGGAUAGUUGGUGAUGACGAUGGUGAUGAUUUCCCCCUUCCAGAGGGAAGUUUCCCCGGUAGAACAGCUUUGCCGGAGCUCUAGAUUGGUUCCGCCAAGGUUCCGCCUCGUGGCGGCGGAGUUUCAUCCCGUAAGCUUGCCCACGAUUUUUUCCAGGGUAAAAGCCUUCAUAUAGCAGAAGAUGGACAUCGGGGGGCCACCAUGGGGCCCAGGAGAUGGGGGCGCGCCCAGUAGGGGUGGGCGCGCCCCCACCCUCCUUGCCAGGGUGUGGUCCCCCUGAGGUGUUUCUUCCACUCAAUAAUUCUUAUUAAAUCCAAUAAUAAGUUUGGUGGAGUUUCAGGUCUUUUGGAGCAGUGCAGAAUAGGUUUCCAAUGUAUGCUCCUUUUUCAGCCAGAAUUCCAGCCGCCGAUAUUCCCCCUCUUCAUGGUAAAACUUAUAAAAUAAGAGAGAAUAGCCAUAAGUAUUGAUAUAUAAUGUGUAAUGACAGCCCAUAAUGCAAUAAAUGUUGAUAUAAAAGCAUGAUGCAAAAUGGACGUAUCAACUCCCCCAAGCUUAGACCUCGCUUGUCCUCAAGCGGAAGCCGAAAUCAAAAAUAUGCCCACAUGUUUAGAGAUAGAGGUGUCAAUAAAAAAAUAAAAUACGGACAUGAGGGCAUCAUGAUUAUUCUUAUAACAUCAACAUAAAUAUAUUUUUUCAUAUAAAUUCUUAUGCUCAAGUAACAAUCAAUUCACAAUGUCAAGUAUGGUUCAGAAACUUCAUUGAAAGCUAACAAACUAUAAUCUCAGUCAUUGAAGCAAUUGCAAUUUAUCAUAACAUCAGAAAGAGUCAAGAAUAGAGCUUUUUAGCAAGUCCACAUACUCAACUAUCAUGUAGUCUUCUACAAUUGCUAAGACUCGCGCAAUACUUGUGGUUAUAGAGUUUCAGCCAGACACUGAGAAAGAUAGGGGCUUAUUGUGUUGCCUCCCAACGUAUUCACCUUUAUGUGAUGUCAACAAUAAUAUUCCAUGCUAACGAACAUCCAGUUGGAUAUAUAUAUCAUUAUCUUUCAUACACAAGGAGCUUGCCAAAGGAUAAAAUGAAAAAGGGAAAGGUGAAGAUCACCUUGACUCAAGCAUAAAGUAAGAACAAAAGUAGAAACAUAAAGUAAAAGAUAGGCCCUUCGUAGAGGGAAGCAGAGGUUGUCAUGCACUUUUACGGUUGGAUACACAAAAUCUUAGUCCGAAAGAAUGUCACUUUAUAUUGCCACUUGUAUAUGGACCUUUAUUAUGCAGUCUAUUGCUUUUAUUGCUUCCAUAACAAGUUCGUAUACAGCUUAUUUUCUCCGCACUAAUAAGUCAUGCAUAUUUAGAGAGCAAUUUUUAUUGCUUGCACCGAUGACAACUUGAAGAAUCUUACUCGAUCCAUAGGUAGGUAUGGUGGAAUCUCAUGGAAAAACGGGGUUUAAGGGUAUUUGGAAGCACAAGUAGUAUCUCUACUUAGUGCUAGGAAUUUGGCUAGCAUGAGGGGGAAAGGCAGCUCAACAUGUUUGAAAGGUCAAUGACAAUAUACUUUAACUGAGAAGUCAGAAAACAUAAACCAUUAUGGUGUCUUCCUUGUCCAACGUCGACUCUUUUAGCAUGUCAUACUUAAUGAGUGCUCACAAUCAUAAAAAGAUGUCAAAGAUAGUAUAUUUAUAUGUGAAACCUCUCUUUCCUUAUCACUUCCUAUUAAUUGCAACGAUGACCAAAACUAUGCUUAUCAACUCUCAACAACUUUUAAGCCUCAUACUUUCUAUGUGUGAAGUCAUUACUAUCCAUAAGAUCAAUAUGAACUCUUUUAUUCUUUUUAUUAUUUCUAUUUUUCUCAAGAUCAUAGCAAGAAAGCAAAGCCCUUGACUCAACACUAAUCUUUAUUAUGGAUAACUCAUGGACUCGAUUACAUAAAGAGAUCACAAAGCAAAACUCAAAACUACUUGAUAUCAAAACUUCGAUCUACUGGAUCAAGAUACUACAAAAAGGAUCUAACUAAAUAAAACGGUAAAGAUAGGAGUGUGAUGGGUAUACGAUACCAGGGCACCUCCCCCAAGCUUGGCAGUUGCCAAGGGGAGUGCCCAUACCCAUGUGAUUAUGUCCCCGGAGGUGGUGAAGUAGGAGUUAUUGAUGAUGUAGGCUUCUUCCUCAAUUUACGCUUGAGUAUAGUGUUUUGCUCUUUUAGGUCCUCGAUCUCCCGCUCAAGACUUAAUACUCUUUUGCAUAGUUCCUGCUUAUUUUCCUGCAAGAGACAAAAAGGGAUAAACUCGAUCUUUGGUUUCUUUGCUCUAUCAGGUAGGCUUGACUUUUUAAACUCCACAUGCAUAUCCCCCGGUUGAGGUAAUGGAAUUUCUUCUUUGUCUGAGCUUGUUUAUUCCUUUCCCUUAGGCUCAUAGUCUUCUUCUUCCUCUGUGGUCCAACCACUAUGGUCCAAAUUCCCGUAGACUUUAGGGUCUGCAAGAUAAUCAGCCACAUAGCUUUCUCCCUCCGAAUCUUAAGAUGACAUGUUGCUUAAACCUGUGGCAGAAAUAGCUCGAAACGAAGACAGAGGAUAUUUGCGUAAUACGGUGGUCAAAACUUCUGGGAGAUUAUAUAAUGAAUUUUUACCAGCCAAAGUACGUAACAUGGAAGAAAACGGAGUCCGGGAGGCACACGAGGUGUCCACGAGACAGGGGGGCGCGCCCAGUAGGGGUGGGCGCACCCUCCACUCUCGUGAGGCCUCGUGUCCUUCCCAGACUACUUCUUUCUUCCUAAAAUUCUUAAAUAUUCCAGAACUGAUAGAAAUUGCCUUUAGAAUUGUUUUGGAGUCGGUUUACUUACCGUACCACAUACCUAUUCCUUUUCGGAGUCUGGAACAUUUUGGAAAGUGUCCCUUGUGUAUUCCACCGGGGUUACGGUUUCAAUAAUAUUAGUUUCAACAUUGAUAGUAUUACCUGAAAUAUAAUGUUUAAUUAUUUGACCGUUCACGACCCUCGGGCUUGUACCUUCGAAGUUGUUGAUUUUUUUGGCACCCGAAUGAUAGACUUCCUCGACAACGUAAGGACCUUCCCAUUUAGAGAGAAGUUUUCCUGCAAAAAAUCUUAAACGAGAGUUGAAUAAUAACACAUAAUUACCUGCGUUAAAAUCACACUUUUGUAUCCUUUUGUCAUGCCAGCGUUUGACUUUUUCUUUGAAUAGCUUGGCAUUCUCAUAGGCUUGGGUUCUCCAUUCAUCAAGUGAGCUAAUAUCAAACAACCUCUUAUCACCGGCAUGUUUGAAGUCAUAGUUGAGCUCUUUAAUAGCCCAAUAUGCUUUACGUUCAAGUUCUAGAGGUAAAUGACAAGCUUUUCCAUAAACCAUCUUAUACAGAGAUAUACCCAUAUGAUUUUUGUAUGCAGUUCUAUAGGCCCAUAAUGCAUCAUCAAGUUCCUUGGACCAAUUCUUUCUAGAUCUGUUAACAGUAUUUUGCAAAAUUAAUUUGAGCUAUCUAUUGCUCAACUCUACUUGACCACUAGACUGCGGGUGAUAAGGAGAUGCAAUUCUAUGAUUAACAUCGUACUUAGCAAGCAUCUUACGGGAAGCACCAUGAAUAAAAUGUGAACCACCAUCAGUCAUAAGAUAUCUGGGGACUCUAAACCUCGGUAAAAUAACUUCUUUAAGCAUUUUAAUAAAAGUGUUUUGAUCAGCACUACUAGUUGGAAUAGCUUCUACCCACUUAGUUACGUAAUCAACAACAACUAAAAUAUGUGUGUAACCAUUAGAGGCAGGAAAAGGUCCCAUAUAAUCAAAGCCCCAAACAUCAAACGGUUCAAUAACAAAAGAAUAAUUCAUAGGCAUUUCUUGAUGUCUACUAAUAUUACCAAUUCUUUGACAUUCAUCACAAGAUAAGACAAACUUACGGGCAUCUUUGAAGAGAGUAGGCCAAUAAAAAUCGGAUUGCAAUACCUUAUGUGCAGUUCUGUCUCCAGCGUACUGUCCUCCGUAUGAUUCAGAGUGACACUUGCAUAGGAUCUGUUCCUGUUCAUGCUCAGGUACACAACGUCUAAUAACACCAUCUACUCCUUCUUUAUAAAGGUGUGGGUCAUCCCAAAAGUAAUGUCUUAAAUCAUAAAAGAACUUUUUUUGCUGGUAUGUGAAACUAGGUGGUAUAAAUUUAGCAACAAUGUAAUUAGCAUAAUCAGCAUACCACAGAGCAGUACGAGAAGCAUUAAUGACCGCUAAUUGUUCAUCAGGAAAACUAUAAUCAAUAGGCAGUGGGUCAUCAAGAACAUUCUCUAACCUAGACAAGUUGUCUACAACGGGGUUCUCAGCUCCCUUUCUAUCAAUAAUAUGCAAAUCAAAUUCUUGGAGCAAGAGAACCUAUCUAAUGAGUCUCGGUUUAGCAUCUUUCUUUUCCAUAAGAUAUUUAAUAGCAGCAUGAUGAGUGUGAAUAGUAACUUUGGAAUCAACAAUAUAAGGUCUAAACUUAUCACAUGCAAACACAACUACUAAGAAUUUUUUUUCAGUAGUAUCAUAAUUUCUCUGGGCAGCAUUGAGAGCUUACUAGCAUACUGGAUAGCAUUUAAUUUCUUAUCAACUCUUUGCCCUAGAACAACACCUACAGCAUAUCACUAGCAUCACACAUUAUCUCAAAAGGUAAAUUCCAAUCAGGUGGCUGAACAAUAGGUGCAGCGAUCAAAGCUUUCUUAAGUAUUUCAAAUGCUCCUACACAAUCAUCAUCAAAGACAAAAGGAAUAUCCUUUUGCAAUAAAUUAGUCAGAGGCCUAGAGAUUUUAGAAAAGUCCUUAAUGAACCUCCUAUAAAAACCGGCAUGACCAAGGAAACUUCUUAUACCUUUUAUGUCCUUGGGACAUGGCAUCUUUUCAAUAGCAUCAACUUUAGCUUUAUCAACUUCAAUACCUCUCUCAGAGAUCUUGUGCCCCAAGACAAUGCCUUCAUUAACAAUAAAGUGGCACUUUUCCCAAUUCAAGACAAGGCUAGUGUGUUCGCAUCUCUGCAGAACUCGAUCAAGGUUGCUCAAGCAAUCAUCAAAAGAGGAUCCAUAAACGGAGAAGUCAUCCAUGAAUAUCUUACAAAUCUUUUCACAAAAGUCAUAGAAUAUAGCCAUCAUACAUCUUUGAAAGGUAGUAGGUGCAUUACAUAAACCAAAAGGCAUAUGUCUAUAAGCAAAAGUACCGAAAGGCAAGUAAAAGUAGUUUUUGAUUGAUCCUUCACUGAGACAAGUAUUUGAGAGAAACCAAAAUAACCAUCUAGAAAGCAGAAAUGUGUAUGUUUGGAUAGUCUUUCUAGCAUUUGAUCAAUAAAAGGUAAAGGGUAAUGAUCUUUCUUAGUGGCCUUAUUUAAUUUACGGAAAUCAAUUACCAUCCUAUAACCUGUAAUAAUUCUUUGCGGGAUGAAUUCAUCUUUAUCAUUAGGAACGACUGUAAUACCUCCCUUUUUAGGAACGACUGUAAUCACUAUCAGUAACGGGAUAAAUUAUACCUACCUCAAGAAGCUUUAGUAUCUCCUUUCUUACCACUUCUUUAAUCUUGGGAUUCAGUCAUUGUUGAGGAUCUCUAACUGGUUUGGCAUCGUCCUCCAAACUAAUUUUGUGUUGACAUAAAGUGGGACUAAUGCCCUCAAGAUCAUCCAGAGUAUAUCCAAUAGCAGCACGGUGCUUCUUUAGAGUUUUCAAUAAUCUUUCCUGUUCUUGCUCUGAAAGGUUAGCACUAAUAAUAACAAGAUAUAUCUUCUUUUCAUCAAGAUAAGCAUAUUUAAGAUUAUCAGGUAAUGGUUUUAGCUCCAACACGGGAUCACCCUUAGGUGGAGGAGGAUCCCUUAGAAUUUCAACAGGUAAGUUAUGUUUCAGAAUAGGUUCCUGUUUAAGGAACACUUCAUCUAUUUCCCUUCUUUCUUUCAUAAACAUAUCAUUUUCAUGGUCUAACAAAUAUUGUUCUAACGGACCAGUAGGAGGCAUAGCAAUAGAAGCAAUACCAACUAUUUCAUCUUUACUAGAUAAUUCUUUAUCACGGGGUUGUCUAUGAAAUAUAGCAAAAUUAAACUUAUGAGUCAUAUCAUCCAAGCCAAUUGUAACAACAUCCUUUUCACAAUCAAUCUUAGCUUUAACAGUUUUCAAGAAGGGUCUACCAAAUAUGAUGGGACAAAUGUCAUCUUGUGGAGAACCAAGAACAAGAAAAUCAGCAGGGUAUUUGACCUUCCCACACAAGACUUCAACAUAUCUAACAAUCCCAAAGGGCCUAAUAGUAUCUCUAUUGGGAAGCUUAAUUGUAACAUCAAUAUCUUCUAACUCAGCAGGUGCAAUAUCAUGCAUAAUCUCUUUGUAUAAGUCAUAGGGUAUUGCACUAGCACUAGCACCCAUAUCAAAUAAGCCAUGAUAACAAUGAUCUCCUAUUUUAACAGAAAUAACAGGCAUGCCUACAACGGGUCUAUGUAUCUUAGCAUCUGGUUUUGCAAUAUUAGCAGCUUCAUCACAGAAAUAAAUAACAUGGCCAUCUAAAUUAUCAUCCACAAGAUCUUUAACCAUAGCAAUACUAGGAUCAACUUUAAUUUGCUCAGGAGGUGUAUAAGUUCUAGUAUUACUCUUACGAACAACAGUUGAACCUUUAGCAUGAUCCUUUAUCUUAAUAGGAAAAGGUGGUUUCUCAACAUAAGUAGUAGGAACAAUAGGAUCAUUAUAGGUAAUAAUAUUUUCUUCAACUGUAAUAGGUGCAACUACUUUUACUUCAAUGGGAGGAUUAUAUUUAAACCACUUCUCCUUAGGGAGGUCAACGCGAGUAGCAAAAUAUUCACAGAAAGAAGCUACUAUCUCAGAGUCAAGUCCAUAUUUAGUGCUAAAUCCACGAAAAACAUCGGUAUCCAUAAAAGAUUUAACACAAUCAAACUUAGGUGUCAUACCUGACUCCUUACCAUCGUCAGAACCCCAAUCUUCAGAGUUGCGUUUAAUUCUUUCCAAUAAUUUCCAUUUGAAUUCAAUAGUCUUUAGCAUAUAAGAACCAACACAGGAAGUGUGACAUCCCAAAUUUUCAAUUUGGAAUGUUAUACAUAGGUCAUUCAUGCAUAUCAUAUUUUAUUUCUUUUCCGCUUUGCAAUCCUCGAAAUCCUAAGCAACUCAAGUACCCUCGGAGAGAGUUGGGGAUUUUCCGGUUUCAUAUUUGGGUUUUCCUACCAAAUAAUGAAACGAGGAUUUUUGAUUUUAAUUAUUUCUCCCUCCGGAAAAUAUUUCGUACCAAAAAUAAAUGAGAGGAGAUAAUAUGACUUCUCCAAAAUAAUUGAAAUAUUGGAGGAAAAAUAUUAAAAUCAUUUAUUUGAUUUUAGUUGGUUUUAUUCGGAUUUUAAUUGCAAUAGAAAAAUUUGCACGUUUGCAAAAAUGCAUUUUAGGGCCAAGAAAAUGUUCAUCUCGUUCUAAAUAUUUUAUUUAGAUGAUGAAAAUUUGUUUGGGCAUUUUUAAGUUUUUAUUUUAUUUUAUAGGAUUUUAUUUCUGUCGGUGGAAUAUUAUAUAUAUAUAAAAAACUUCACCGCGCCCGACCGGCCCUAAGGCCCAGCCGAGGAGGCCGGCCCAGCCGCUGCCGCCUCCUGCGCGCGAGCGCCGCCGCCGCCGCCGACUCGGACAGGAGUCCGAGCCGGACUCCACCGCCGCCGCCUUGGCCCCUACUCGAAGACGACACCCUUUAUAUACUCCCCCGAGCCCCCCCCCUCCUCCACCACAAACCACCGCCACCACCGCAGCCGCCCCGAGCCGCUCCACCUCCCGCUGCCGCGCCUCGCCGCCGCCGCUGCAGCCCCGCCGCCGCCGCCGGUUGUCGCGCCGUCACCGAGCCCCGCCGCCCCGUGAGCCGAGCCCCUCCGCAUCACCUCGCCUCGCCGGAGCCCCUCGCCGGAGGUACCGAGCUGGAUUCGAGCCGCCGUUUUUUUUCUUAAAACCGUUCGGUUUUUUAGAAACCCUAGUUCAUUUUUUUAGAUCGGCUCACCGGUUUUUCGCGGUUCUUCUAUUUAGCGGACGUUCGUCCGUAUGUUCAUCAAAACGAACGGUUUUCAUUCGUUAGUUACAGAUAAUGAACGCUCGUUCGUUAGCCUGUUCGUCAGUUUUCUUUUAUCGGAUUUAUUUGCGAUUAUUCUCGGUCGCGAUUUCUGAUCCGACCUUAGUUUUUCUUUAUCUUUUCGCUCGUUAGUCGGAAUCAAGUGAUUCAAAAGCCUAGAGUUUCGUCUCAAGACCCUCUUUCUGUUUAACCAACUUGAACAAGAUUUUGAUACUAUCAAAUUUGACUUUAGUUCAGAUUAGUAAACGGAUCUUCUUUGUCUCGCCGUUUGAGUUUCGUUGCUCCGUUUGAUUUGAUUCUUUUUGCAAACCGAAGUUCUUAAGUUGAACUUUCCGCUCUUUCGUUUUAGUUGAAGUUUUGCUCGCGCAUCUCUGCUAGUUGCUUAUGUAUGUUAUUGUUUGUUUGCCAUAGAAUACCCGAAGUGCGAAGCGUGUUACUACAAGUCUCUAGGUUUCGCGGAUCGUCAGCAAGGCAAGUAACACAUUGAUCAUACUCUUUUCAUACCCAGUUUUCAUUGCAUUAGUUCAAUCCUUAAACAUUGCAUGGUUAGGAUGUCUUUAAUAUGUGGGUUUUGGGAAGUAGCUGAUGAGGUAGAACCUAUUGCCCUGCUUAUUUUUAAACACUUGGGAGUUACUUCUAUGUUAUGCUUAUAUUGCUAUGCUAUGCUCGUAGACGUGGAUUGGGUUUGAGUGUUCCAUGACAGAUGUGAGAUUGUUAAUUAAUGGUUCAACUUAAGGUGGCAACUUUAAUACACAUCUGGGUGGAUUGAGGCACCUGGGGAACCCAGUGAUUGUUUGUUUUUUUGGAAAUCCCGGGGUUACCGUGUGAUCUUCCUAUGGACCGCCACCCAGGCUCAAAGGGAACUGAGAUGAUUCAUGCUAGAAACUUUUGUGUGCAACCACAAGCUAUUAUGGGCUCUAGCAUAGCUGAGUAAGUUAUGUGAAGCUCUUGAACACGUAGAUCAGCAGGUAGUGGGUUUUGUAGGUUUGGUAUGGUCUACCCGGAGUAGAGAGUUAAUGUUUCUGAAAGACUAUGUCUCGGUCAUCCGUUUCUCAAACACCGUGCAAUGCGAGAAAUCCAACGGAGGCGAUCGAGUCUUGUGGGGAAAAGUGCGCAAACCUCUACAGAGUGUACAAUCUAAUCAUGGUUAGUCGUGUCCCCGGUUAUGGACAAUUCUGAGUGUCUAGUACUCGGGUUAUCUUAUGUAUCUGAUCACUCUUAAUUAAUAUUGUUGGGUUGUUAAUCACAUUAAUUGGGAUUGACUUGGGGUUACCUUCUCAAUGUUGUUCAAAUACCAUGAUAGUUAAAUAAAAAUUUAUUCCUUUGCAGUAGGAAAAAAUUGGCUUUAUGCAAACCUGUAACCAUAGAGCUUUCCACCAGCCAAAUAUGCAUGUAGUGAUAGCAUUAUUCUAUUUUGCUCUACUGUGUAAUAUUGCCAGCAUAUUCUAUGUGCUGACCCGUUUCUCGGGCUGCAACAUGUUAUGUUGCAGACUUUUCAGAUGAGGAGUAAGGUUCGUUAGGUCGUUGCCGUGCAGCUCAGCUAUGCCGUUGGAGUUGAUGGACUCACUUUAUCUUCCAAGCCUUCCGCUAUUAUCGCACUAGAUGGCCUUUAGCCAUAUUAUUGUAAUAAGUUCUCUUCUGAGACAUUCGAUGUAAUAAGUGUGUGAUUGCUACUCUGUUAUAAAUCCUUCGAGUACUGUGCGUGUCAGCAUUACUGAUCCAGGGAUGACACUGAUGCACAGAGGCUUGACCGUUUGAGGUUGGGUCGCUACAAGAUGGUAUCAGAGCACACGCUGAGUGUAGGACACGACCACUAAGACAAACCAUAGGUCACUCUUCUCUACUCCUUUCUGAUUCCUCUUCCCCUUUUCCACUCUUUAGGAUGUCGGAGAUGAAGAACAAGUUUGCGCAACCGGACGAGGAUACACCUUUUGGACGCCACUUGAAGGAAGUCACGAGGUACCUGAACAUUGGAAUACCAAGUUUCACCGGGACGUACAAGGCCACCUUACCUGAAGAGGAGCGCUGGAUGAUUCAAGUACAAGUACCAGGAAGGAUGUUCUCGCCAACUUCUAAACCCAUAGAAUUUUCCUUUGAUUCACCAACCUGGAGCCUAGGCAAGAGCAUGGCAGCCCACAUUACCAUGGGACGCAUUGGAGAAGUCUAUAACAAGGAACUCAAGGACACCAUCUAUCAAAUAUGUGGGUGCCGAGACGAGCAAUGGGAGAUGAUCAGCACCAAGAAGGAUAGAUCCAUUGCAGCUUUUAUCCAGGAGAAAAACCAGCACAUUCGACGAUAGGAGAACCAGAUGUGCGCAGACAUGAUGGAGUUGAAGAAGGCAAAGACUAGGAUCAUCGAGCUGGAGGAAGAACUCAAGUUCACCCGCGAUGGAUAUGAGGAGGAAAUCAAGACGCUACUGGAGAAGAACGAUGACCUGGUUAAGAAGAAUCGGAAUAUUCAUGGGAGAACCAGCACC
RNAcentral lists this long non-coding RNA (18035 nucleotides) under Triticum aestivum (bread wheat). RNAcentral's name for it is "long non-coding RNA (TAES_LNC002318)". The record is from RNAcentral. Lineage: Eukaryota; Viridiplantae; Streptophyta; Magnoliopsida; Poales; Poaceae.